GCCCUGCUAGCGUAAUGGUUAACGCGUCUCCCUCCUAAGGAGAAGACUUCGGGUUCGAGUCCCGAGUAGGGUU
Molecule: transfer RNA, 73 nt
Filed under: Candida tropicalis
Lineage: Eukaryota; Fungi; Ascomycota; Pichiomycetes; Serinales; Debaryomycetaceae
Also listed under: 1 other name
Description: tRNA-Arg (CCT) (tRNA-Arg-CCT-1-1)
Rfam family: tRNA
About the family: Transfer RNA (tRNA) molecules are approximately 80 nucleotides in length.
Source: RNAcentral